Molecule: long non-coding RNA, 527 nt
Organism: Lutra lutra (Eurasian river otter)
Lineage: Eukaryota; Metazoa; Chordata; Mammalia; Carnivora; Mustelidae
Exons: 3
Source: RefSeq, a predicted model, not a curated record
AACCAACACUCCUUCCUGGAAAGAGCAAAGCGUUCCUUUUUGGGGCUUUCCUCAUUGAAUCUGACCUGUCGUCACCACCUGGGAGUGUCUGAUGGUGUUCCGUUGAAAAUCAUGUUUCCCCGACCCCCAAGCCCAUCAAGGACACAGCAAGGCACAAACGGGCCCAGAGAGAGCAGAAGUGCCUCGUCCCAGAACUCUCUGAAGAAGCAACUUGGCGAAGCUCCCUGUUUCCAGCUCACCCUUCUUUUAGCCGCUCUUUCAGGGAUGAGGUGACCGUGGAAAAAAAGAAGCAUCAUGAGAAUUCACUCAGCAAAGCUCACAGUGGAAAAUGGGUCACAGGGUGACCACAGUGAGUCAUUCUGGAUGGGGUACAGAACACACAAAACCACCCCACACACAACCACCCCACACUGCCUGGGUUCUUGGGAAUUUCCAGUGGGAAGUCUCUGCUUCUGACCAAGACAGAUGGGACAGCCUGUCCCAGUGGGAACACUUCAGGAAGUCAAUGUUACUCAAUUCAACUUAAA